Molecule: long non-coding RNA, 1782 nt
Organism: Gallus gallus (chicken)
Lineage: Eukaryota; Metazoa; Chordata; Aves; Galliformes; Phasianidae
Source: Ensembl
UUGUACCACUGAGCACUGACUUAACAGGAGAACCCAACUGCAAAUGAACAUGAAUACUUGAAAAGCACUUUCAUUUACUCAUAUAACUUAUAUAAAAUUGUAGCUCUGAUUUUUUUUAAAAAAUAUUUGUAACAUUGCACUUGCAAGGCUAUUUAAAAUUGUAAUGUUAACAUUUAAAAUGUUAAUAUUUUAAUACUUGCACAAAUUAUUGGAAUUCCAGUAUUUAGUUUUAUAGAAGAAGCCUAAUUCAUCUGAAGAGUUCUGUAAAUGUACCAUUUUAAAUGUAAGGUAGAGCAAUACAUUGAAAUAGCCAAGAUUUCUCCUUUGGAUCUUUUUUAAGCCAGUGAAAUUUUAUAUUGUUUCUGUUAAAAUACUUGCAUUGUGUUUGUCUGUUUGAAUUUUCAGUGUUAAUCUAACUAUGAAACAGUUUUAUCCGUGUUUCAUGUCAUUAUCUUCUGAUGGAGGUGACUUGAAGAUACCAUUUCCAUGAACUAAAUGAAUAUUUUUAAAGUUUUGUUAGCUUGAACAGCUGUAGUACUUCUGUUUGCAAGGUAUAAUUGUGAAUUUGCAGGUUUUUAUGAAGAAUCUCUAUGCAAAUGCACUACUGAUAAGAAGGUAUUAAUGUCAAGUUAAUAUUUAGUCUUUCAUUUAGAUAAGGUUUGGUUAUGGAGGUGUUUUCUUUAAGACAAUCCCUUGUUAGAUCUCUUGCUAUAAGCUCUGAAAUUUCUUUAAAUACUCGAAGAAAAAUCUAUGCCUAUUGCUUGUUAGGUUUUUUUUUUAAUUAAGGCUCAAUGCAGUCACACAAAGCCAUUUUACAAUGUGUUAUGUCUCAUAGAAUCACAGAAUGAAAGGGACCUUAAAGAUCAUUUAGUUCCACCUCCGCUGCCAUGGGCAGGGACACUUUCCACUAGAUCAUGUUGCUCAAAGCUACAUCCAACCUGGCCUUGAACGCCUCUGCGGAUGGAGCAUCCACAGCUUCUCUGGGUAACCUGUUCUGGUGCCUCACCACCCUCACAGUGAAGAAUUUCUUCCUAAUCCCUAAUCUAAAUCUGCUUUCUUUUAGUUCAAAACCAUUACCUUCUGUCCUUUUGCUACACUCCCUGAGAAAGAGUCUAUUCCCCUCUUCCCCGCAGGCCCCCUUUAAGUACUAGAAGAGUAGCUAUAAGGUCUCCUCAGAGUCUUCUCUUUUUAUUUGGGCCAAACAACUCCAGCUCUCCCAGCCUGACUUUAUAGCAGAGGUGUUCCAGCCCUCUGGUGAUGUCAUGGUUUUGUAACUGCUGUGGCCCUCCUCUGAACCCACUCAAAGAGGUCCAUGUCUUUCUUAUGCUGGAGGCCCCAGAGCCGAAUGCAGUGCUCCAGGGAAUUUAUGCUUUGUUCCCAGUUUUGGAUUCUGCUGCACCCUUAUCGUGUGACCUUCAACAAGUUACUAAGAAUAAAGAUUUUCAUAGAUAGCUUUAGAUUUUGAGUGUUCCAACUUGGGCUUUCUUUCAGAAGCAGGCAUUGCUCACAGCUGCAGGGACACAUACCAAGCCCAGCUGAUACAAGCUGGACACUGAAAUCCAAAGAAAAACUUGAAGAAAGUCGAUCUUAAUCUCUCUCUGGUUGUUGUGAGAAUUAGUUAACUUGUCUGUAAAUAAUUUUAGAGCCUUAACAGGAAAGUGCUGAAGAGGUGCAAGGUGUUAAUAUAUUGUACUGAAAGAAUGGAAGCAUGAAAAAUCAGUAAUAAUGAGAAAACAAUAGAAAGGAAAAAAAAAAGGAAAAAACAAAGAAAAAAAACCUUCU